UCAGAUGCACCCACAAGCUUGACAAUAACCUCACAAGUUUCCAUUUUACCUGCAACAAUGGCUCCUUUAUUUAUUACAAUCACCCGGAUGAUGAUUUACCAAGUAUUCUUCCACCUAUCUGUUCACUGAUUCAGCUCCCAGUGCAUAAGACUCGAAAAUCUAAUGACUUGUUCCAUAGUUUUGAAGGGAGCAUAUAUUUGUCUUUAAUUGGAGAAAGAAAUUUUAGGUUUCUAUCAAACAGAUUACGUCUGUUUAAUUUCUCUUUAUGUUUUUCUUUCAUUUUAUUAACAAAAGUCAAAUAAUAAAUUAAGAAAGAACGGGGGAAGAUUUUUCCAAGUCAUGCAUUAUUUGAUCACCAUCAAUCAAGAAACUGACCAAAUUAAUUUCCCUCCAAGAUUUCCAAAAGUUAGAAAAUUUUGUUAUUUUAAAAUAACAUCAUUAAUUAUAGAGUGGAUCAAACCGUGUAAUUAUCUUUCAUAAAAUUAAUGUCUUUUUAAGAGUCAAACUUUUUACUUACGCAAGCCAGUGGACAUCUACUUAACUUUUUUUUAUUUUUGUUAUUAUUAUGCUAUUUAUUUCAAUCCCCAAUAACUUGAUUAGCAACCAUCAAGAAAUGACUUCCGAAAACUAGAAUUUUGUCAUUUGAUAAUAACAUCAUAAAUUGGAGUUGAUCAAACUGCGUUAUUUUCUUUCAUGAAAUUAAAGCCUAUUAGUGUCAUGCUUUUUUUUUAAAAAAAAAAAAACAGGUCAACAUUAACUCUUUUUUUAAAUUGUAUAAAUUAAGAAGAUCAUUGAAUAGCCUAUGUCCUUUACUUUGGGGAGUCUGCGUUCCUACUAGUUGAGUUAGCGUUUGCCUCAACUCGAACUUUAUUAUUUUUUUGCACCAUUAGUCCCAUAAGUUAGAAGUACAACCCCUGAAAGAGUUAUGUUAAACUCACUUGUUUAAAAGUAGGAGUUCGAGAAUUUUAAAUUGUAUCUUAAAGCUAAUUAUAAAAGGGUCCCUAUUCUAACCACUUUGCUUGCACUCAGUUUUAUUAUCCAUCACAAAAAAGUUAUAAGCAGAAUAAAGUAGAAGAAAUCUUACAUCAACUAGAGUGUAUCAAAUAGAGUGUAUAGAUACUUAGACCUUGAACAACUAUUUUUAUAGACACGGCCCUAUCCAUAAUUUAUUAUAUAUUUUUUUCUUUUUAUUAAGAAUGAUUUUUUUCCCUUAAAAAAAAAUGCAGCUGCAAAUUACCUAAUAUUCUUCGUUUUUACGUCUCUGUGAUAUAGGCUGCAUAAAAUACGAAGCGAAUGGGGCCCUUCUCCUGGACGAGUUAAACACUCAUCCAUCAUUUUGAACGAGUCAAUUGUUUCACGUCCUACAGCGACAAAGUGUCUAGUAGAAAGCAGUCUACAAGUCUUUCCAAGUCAACUGGCGUGUUCUACGGAUAUAGCAACCAAACACGCGGACAAGGAAAAAAAGCAGAAAUUGCAAGAUAAUUUGACGUAUUACAAAGAUUAUUCUUAGUAGUCUAUUAGUUGACUAAGAAUAUUAUUGGUAGUUUAUUAGUUGAUUUCUCCAGCCAUAUUGGGAAUUCGGAAUAUUAAUGGCUUGUUACUCGUUUCUUGUGUUCUUUGUUAUCUCCCAACUUUUACUUCUUUCUUCGGCUGAAGAAGAACGUGAACUGAAUAAAACAUGUCCAUUUUCUUUUCCCCCCUGUGGAAAUCUCAGUCAAUUUACCUUUCCUUUCACCAAUCGGACGCACCCUGAAUGUGGGUUGAUGGUAGUAGAUAACUGCAACGAGCCAGUUCAGAGAAUUCGAUUGGGGAAGGCCGGGCCGUUUUAUAAUAUUUUAAACAUCGCUCAGGAUGUUUCAAUUACACUUGAAGACCAGGUGUUUCAAAGUCACUUGAACGAACGUAGCUCUGAAUCCUUCAAAAAUUUAUCUCUCCCCAGCUCUGCUUCUCUCUCUUUUGAGAUCAAAUCCAAGCUAAGCCUCUUCCGAUGCACUGACAAGCUUGACAACAACCUCACAAGUUUCCAUUCUACCUGCAACAAUAGUUCCUUUAUUUAUUACAAUCACCCGGAUGAUGCUUUACCAAGUAUUCUUCCACCUAACUGUUCACUGAUUCAGCUCCCAGUGAAUAAGACUAGAAAACCUGAUGUCUUGUUCAAUAUGUUAACUUCAGUUUUCUCUCUUCAAGUGGAAGUACAGAGGAUUUGUGAUGAAUGUCACCGGAGAGGGGGCCAGUGUCAAAAUGAUAGCAAGGGAAAUUUUCAAUGUGAAAACGAACGGACAGGUAUCAAAAUUACAUUAGGACGUAUAAUAUACACAUAUUCGUUCUUAUUCCUGUAAUAUCCCAAAUUACUAGCAAGCCAGUGUCUGAGCUAAUCUAUAAGUUUUGAAUUCUCCUAGAGCUGGCAAAACGGGUCAUCGGGUCGUGUUCGUGUCGUGUCAGCUUCGUGUCGUGUCAAAUUUAGGUCGACCCAAACCCGACCCAUUUAAUAAUCGUGUCAAAAUAUUGAGACCCAAACCCGACACGGAAAAAUAAUCGGGUUACCCAAUAACCCGUUUAAUAUCUAUAUAUUGAACAAAAGUUACAUCAAAUAUUUACACACUAUCAUGCAUACAUACAUACAUACAUACAUACAGCCAAUAUAUUACACAUGUACACUAUUGAGUUUUAAUUUUAUAUAUAUAUAUAAUAUUAUAUAUCAAUAUUAUAAAAUAUACAUGUCUAUCAAUUUUUACACAUUUACACUAUUGAAGCUCUAAAUGUAUGUAAAAUUUUAUAAAUAAAACAUUGUGUUUAUAUUCACCCUUUUAAAGAAUAAAAAAAAGAAAAUUAUCUCUAAUAUUUGAGUUUUAAUUAUAAGAAUAUGUAAAUUAUUUUAAAAUAGAAAAUAUAAUCGGGUCAUUGAUCGGGUAAAUGGGUCAAGAAUUUUAACCCAAACCCGACACAGAAAAAAAUCAUAUUGACCCGGACCCGACCCAUUUAAUAAUCGUGUUAAAUUUGACGACUCAUACCCAUUUAUUUAUGUCGUGUUCGUGUCGGAUAAUCGGGUCGUGUCAAAUUUUGCCAGCUCUAAAUUCCCCUAUCCAAAUACUUCUUUUUGUAUCACAAAAUCCAAGAACAAAACACUUUUUUUUUUACUCACCGAGUCAGUAGCUAAUUUUUUUUUUCUCGUUUUUGUACAUUUAUAUAAGCUACGUCUAAUCUAAUAACAUGCAAGAAAACGAGUUCCUAUUUUUCAGUCUCUUUUUAUUUAUUUGGUGGAUUUUGGCUGUCCCUUUACCUGCAUUUGGAGAAAGCAGCAGACUUGUUGGAGCAAGUUCUGUAUCUGGUUGAGAUAGGCUAUUCUGUCAGUUGCCUCUCCAAUUUGGUCAAAAUUUGGAUGAUUUGAGAACAUCAUUACAUUUUUUAACAGUCUCAACUAACACCAGUCUUUGUUUAAUUCUGUUGCAGGAAACAGAAAACUUAGAUUGAAGCUUCUGCCAGGACUAGGUAAUGUAUCUUUUUAAUCAAAUUCAUUAUUGGUGUAUUGCUACUUGACUAAGGCAAGUGUCCGGCUUAGGUCCGUCCUUUAUUACAUUUUUGCUAUUGUUCUACAUUCAAAUAAAUUCGGAUACCUUAUAAUCGCUUCAAAUUUCUUCUCUGCCACUCGUGUUUUUUUGCAACCCUCAAUAGAAUCAAGGAGCAUCUGCUAGCACAAUUUUUGGACCAUCCAAAAUUUGCUGAACUAUUUUUUGGCUUCUACUCAUAGUUUUGAAGGAAGCAUCCAUCUGUCUUUAAUUAGAGAAAGAAAUUUUAGGUUGACAGCGACUCCUUUCUCUGGUUGCAGGAGCAUCAGCCUUUGCAAUUGGCAUAUUGAUAUUUAUAGCCUUUUACUUCAAGAGAAAACUUUCAUCAUACAAUUCCACUGCAAGUUGUCUGAACAUUGAGACAUUUUUAAGGAAUUAUCGAUCUCUAUCUCCUAAAAGAUAUGGCUAUGCAGAUAUUAAGAAAAUGACCAAUUCUUUCAAAUAUAAACUCGGCCAAGGAGGCUAUGGAAGUGUUUACAAAGGAAAACUACUUGACGGUAGUAAUGUGGCGGUAAAAGUCUUAAAUGAUUCAAAAGGAAAUGGUAAAGAAUUCAUCAACGAGGUUGCUAGCAUUAGCAGGACUUCCCAUGUUAACGUUGUCGCUCUUUUAGGAUUCUGUUUGAGGGUCGCAGAAGAGCUCUCAUCUACGAGUUUGUGUCCAAUGGAUCUCUGGAGAAGUUCAUUUAUAGAAACAGCUCAUCGAUAGAAAAUCAUAAAUUGACCUGGGAAACGUUGCUCCAAAUUGCAGUAGGCAUAGCUCGAGGAUUAGAGUACUUGCACCUUGGCUGCAGUACACGAAUUCUGCAUUUUGACAUCAAGCCUCAUAACAUUCUUCUAGAUGAAGACUUCUGUCCCAAGAUCUCUGAUUUCGGCCUAGCUAAAAUCUGCAACAGGAAAGAGAGUAUCAUCUCAAUGACAGGUGCACGGGGAACUGUUGGGUAUAUUGCUCCAGAAGUAUUCUGUAGAAAUAUUGGGGAAGUCUCUUACAAGUCGGAUGUUUAUAACUACGGAAUGAUGAUUUUCGAAAUGACUGGAGGAAGAAAGAACGUUGAUGUUGUGGAUAAUGGAAGCACCGCAUUGGAUUUACAAGCGUCUAGAAAAGGAUGAAGAACUUGGACUGCAAGGCAUUGAAAAUGAAGAAGAUAUAGAAUAUGCAAGGAAGAUGAUAAUUGUAUGCUUGUGGUGUACACAGACUAACCCCUCAAGCCAGCCAACAAUGAAUAGAGUAGUGGAAAUGUUGGAAGCAAGCCACCAUUCCUUGCAAAUCCCACCCAAACCUUUCUUAUCUUCGCCGGGCUCACCAGCAGACUCUUCAACUAACAAAGUAUAGCAGACUCUUCAACUAUACAAAGUAUACUAAUAACAUUGUAAAAAUACCAUUAGGUAUCAGAAUGCACUGUUUUCCUCCCCCUUUCUACUUUGUAAAUUGGUGCAAUUUUCGAUAAAUAUGGAAUUAGAGACGUCCAUUUCAAUAAAUAUCAGGCAACAAAGAAUGACGCAGUUUUCACUAGAGUUCCACUGCUUUGGCACAUAGUAAUCUUUAUUUGUAAUCUUCGUGGUUUAGUUAGCACUAACGCAAAAUACAAGACCGCCAAAAGUUUUGGAAUUCCAAAGGAACACUCAAUAAUCAAUCAGCUCUCCCUGAGGCGCUAAAACUCAUUUUACAUUAUUUGCAUAUAUUACAUAUACAAUUGAUGUAGCACUAUGGUAAGAUUCAAACAAUUCACUAGCCUAAUGGAAAGUGGGCACAAAAAAAUAGAAUGAAGUGGGAAAGAAUAAGGAGGUUACAAUAACGGAGUUAUGCUACUUUAACUCCACUAGGGCGUUUUCCUUCCAUGGCAUCCUUCUUAUUUCGGCAAUCAGCGCAGAAGAAAGGCCCUUGCCUGGGCUUUGAGCUAGUGGAGAAGAUGGAACCAGCAUGAACAGAGAUUCCCUCACUCGGAGCAAGGUCGAUUUGGCAUACAGCACAUGUAAAAAGACCAGAUGUUGACUGCAACACAGGUUCUUCAUUACCCAGUCUGCAAAAUGCAUUAAAAAUUAUGACAAAGUGAACAUUUAAGCGAUUGAGAACUAGAUUUAGAAAAUCAGAGCAAUACUUUUGAGCCUUUCCAAUGACAAAGUGAACAUUUACACAUGCAAAGGAGACAGCAUUAACCUUUCGGCAAGCAUUGCCGAGCCUUCUUCGAACAGUUCUUCAACUAUUCCUACAGCUGAAAGCUUCUUUGUUAGUUUAUUUGCUGAAUCAAGGGACUUCUUCCUAAAUAGCAGCGCUCUCAGCUUAUUCUGCUUUUUGGGAGGAGGCUGAGGCUGCAUCGUAUUGUCAGGAGGAAUUAUGUCAACAACUAUGCAAGUUGUAUCAUCCUUCAGUCCCCUUGUCCUUAAUGCUUCCUAAAUAGUGAUCCAUCAAAUACAGUGAGAAAACAUUCUAAGCAAUCAUCUGAAAAGCUAUGUUAGCACGUUCUUCUAAAAAGAACUGGCAACAAAUACGUAGUAAAACAACAAAUUAAAUUACCUUCACCACUUGUCUGGCAGCGAGUUCAGCCGGCAAUCCACGGCAACAUUGUGCAGCCAUUUCUGAGGAUAAGGCAUCCCAGAUUCCAUCAGAAGCAAUAAUAAGCCUUCCACCUGCAUUUGAUAGCUUUUAAAACAAUGAAGAAAGUAAGAGUUCAUGCUGAAGAUAGAACAAGCAAUUCCAUCUCAAAAUCACGGGUAACACAGUCGAAAGAUGGAAAAGAAUCACAAGUGAAAAACAUGAUGUAGAAACCCCCCCAAAAAAAGGGGGGAGGGCGGAUACCUUUACCUGUUUGACGUAUGGUAAUUCCCCAACAUCCAUGUCUCCAAUUGACCUAGAAAUGCAUAAACCACCAGGCCAGCAACGGAGGGGACCAAUCUGUCAAGGUUAUGCAAAUUUUGUUACAAACUGCAGGAUAGAUUUUUUCUAUUUUGUAGAAAUUCUGCCCUUUACUUUAAGACCAAUGAAUAACACUUGAGACCAAUAUGUUAAAACACCUUACCUCAGCACCUCCAACAAUGCUAAGCCUCCCAACUUCACCCCCACUUGCAGUAACGCGUUCCCUCCUGCAGUUGCAGCAUAACUAAUUAAAGAGUCUAUCCAGAAUAAGGGAAGAAAUAAAGCUUUGAUACAGAAACACACUCUUCCACAUUCUCUUCAAGCCUGUGAUCUACAGUCAAGGUGGAAACAGCCCCACCCUGAGCAUCCAAUAUACAACGAGAAUCUCCAACAGAUGCAACAGUCACAGUCCAUCUGUCAACUAUAACAAAUGUAGCUGUGGUCCCAGAUGUUUCUCCUGAAGAUGAUUGAACAAGUAUAGCAAAAUUACUUUUGCUUGAUUUACAACAUAAAGUCAAAGAUGGGAAAUAAAAAAGAAGUGCAAGAAUGAAAAUAAGAACAAGGGACAGUUCCAUGCCUCUACUCUGAAAUUCCUUGUCAGUCUUCACAAAUCCAGCAACUAAGGCUCGAGGUAGAGCCUGAAGCCAUUCCAAAGAUUAUUCAGAAUUACAAAGAUUAUUCUGAGUAGUUUAUGUUACGUAAAUAAGAGCACCAGCUCGGCCAUGCCAUCAUCCCCACCCCGGGGUGGAUCACCUCAGCCGAAUAGUACGAGCAGAACACUGAUAGUGAGCCUUCUAUAAACAUGGGCCGACCCGAGACGAGUACCAGCCAGAGGAAUAUACCGACCAGAGACAUAUACCGAGCCGAUACCUGUCCCCCAAAGAGCGGGAACACGAUCUCACAGAAUCACGAUAGUUGCGUUUUUCCCAGAACCGUUGAAGGAGAUGCGAUAUCCCACGUUUGCCCACAAUGUAGCAGUUAGAGUCCCAUGAGGGGUUGCCACUACCCGGAAAAGGGGGGAUGAAAGGUGAACGGAAACGUGGGACAGCGGCUAUAAAGAGGAAGAAAUCGAUAAAAAAAUGGAUGAAAAAACUGAGAGAGAAGGGAAAACUCUGCCAAAUUGAAACUAGACUGUUUUUCUGCCUAAAUUGAGAGUGAAUCAUAAGCCAUUCCGAAAUCUAAAUUGAACCGUUUUCCCGUAAACACCUUGUGCUAACUUAGGCAUCAGGGGGUUUACGCCGGUAAAACCACCGGCGUCUCUGAUCCAUUUCUUUGUGAACGCAGAAUUAGCAAGAUAAAAAGGGGUGAUUUCAAUCUAGUGACAUAAGCAAUCGUUAAGACGAGAAGGUAGCGAUAUCGUUCCAUCAAACAUAUAAACGUUGGUGAAAAAUCUGAUCGGAUAAAGGGCGAGCAAAUUUCAGCAUCAACAGUUUAUUAGUUGAUUAAGAAUAUUCUUAGUAGUUUAUUAGUUGAUUUCUCCAGCCAUAUUGGGAAUUCGGAAUAUUAAUGGCUUCUUACUCGUUUGUUGUGUUCUUUGUUAUUCUAAGAACAAAACACUAUCUGCUCCGAGUUAGUAAUUUUUUUUUUCUUUUUGUACAUUUACAUAAGCUAUGUCUAAUCUAAUAACAUGCAACAAAACGAGUUCCUAUUUUUCAGUCUCUUUUUAUUUAUUUGUUGGAUUUCGGCCGUCCCUUUACCUGUAUUUGGAGAAAGCAGCAGAUUUGUUGCAGCAAGUUCUGUAUCUGGUUGAGAUUGGCUAUUCUGUCAGUUGCCUGUCCAAUUUUGUCAAAAUUUGGAUGAUUUGAGAACAUCGUGACAUUUUUUCGUAGUCUCAACUAACACCAGUCUUUGUUUAAUUCUGUUGCAGGAAACAGAAAACUCAGAAAACAGUAAUGUAUCUUUUUAAUCAAAUACAUUAAUGGUGUAUUGCUACUUGACUAAGGCAAGUGUCCGGCUUAGGUCCGUCGUUUAUUAUAUUUUUGCUAUUGUUCUACAUUCAAAUAAAUUCCGAUACCUUAUAAUCGCUUCAAAUUUCUUCUCUGCCACUUGUGUUUUCCUGCAACUCUCAAUAGAAUCAAGGGACAUCUGCUAGCACAAUUUUUGGACCAUCCAAAAUUUUCUGAACUAUUUUUUGGCUUCUACUCAUGGUUUUGAGGGAAGCAUCCAUCUGUCUUUAAGUAGAGAAAGAAAUUUUAAGUUGACAGUGACUCCUUUCUCUGGUUGCAGGAGCAUCAGCCAUUGCAAUUGGCAUAUUGAUAUUUAUAGCCUUUUACUUCAGGAGAAAACUUUCAUCAUACAAUUCCACUGAAAGUUGUCUGAACAUUGAGACAUUUUUAUGGAAUUAUGAAUCUCAGGCUCCUAAAAGAUAUUGUUAUGUAGAUAUUAAGAAAAUGACCAAUUAUUUCAAACAUCAACUUGGCCAAGGAGGCUAUGGAGGUGUUUACAAAGGAAAACUACUUUGACGGUCGUAAUGUGGCAGUAAAGCUCUUAAAUAAUUCAAAAGGCAAUGGUGAAGAAUUCAUCAACGAGGUUGCUAGAAUUAGCAGGACUUCCCAUGUUAACAUUGUCACUCUUUUAGGAUUCUGUUUCGAGGGUCGCAGAAGAGCUCUGAUCUACGAGUUUGUGUCCAAAUGGAUCCUCUUGAGAAGUUCAUUUAUAGAAACAGCUUAUCCACGGAAAAUCAUGAAUUGGCACGAGAAACAUUGCUACAAAUUGUAGUAGGCGUAGCUCGAGGAUUAGAGCACUUGCACCUUGGCUGCAGUACAUGAAUUCUGCAUUUUGACAUCAAGCCUCAUAACAUUCUCCUAGAUGAAGACUUCUGUCCCAAGAUCUCUGAUUUCGGCCCGUGAGGAAAUAAGUUGCUGGUUCGUUGGGUUUAAAUGCAAGUUUGGAAGAAUUCUUGGAGCAGUGUGCAGAUCGACUUCAGUUGGAGGGGUCUAGUUGAAAAACUUAUGCUGAUGUGGCAGAAUUCGUUGAGAGUUCGUUAUGACUUUUUCCAGAAAUAUCAGAAUAAAAGGCACUUGUGACUAGCCUCUGAUAUCAUAUCGAUAUCUUCUUCAUUUCUUGUUCAUUUUGCUUGCAAUUUGGUUCAUUGUGAUCCUUGUAAUUUCUUCUUUGUGAUUAGGUUGUAAUUCGAUUGUUGAGAUCAAUGAAAGAGCAGUUUUUUCCUUCAUCAAUUUGUGUACUUGAAACUGUGCUCUGAAUCUGUUUCUUGUGAUUUUUUUCUUGAUUGGUUUACUCUGAUCAGUUCUUUCAAGUCCAAUUAUCAAAGUGCUUCUUGAAAUUUCUUGUGUAGCUGUUAUGAGUUAUAACACGGCCUAUAUAAAAUCUGCAACAGGAAAGAAAGUAUCAUCUCAAUGACAGGGGCACGGGGGAAUGUUGGGUAUAUUGCUCCAGAAGUGUCUGUAGAAAUAUUGGAGAAGUCUCUUACAAGUCACAUGUUUAUAGCUACGGAAUGAUGAUUUUCGAAAUGACUGGAGCAAGAAAGAACGUAGAUGCUCGGGAUAAUGGAAGCAGUGACGUAUAUUUUCUGCAUUGGAUUUACAAACGUCUUGAAAAGGAUGAAGCGCUUGGAUUGCACGGCAGUGAAAAUGAAGAAGGUAUAGAAUGUGCAAGGAAGAUGAUAAUUGUAAGCUUGUGGUGCAUACAGACUAACCCCUCAAGCAGGCCAACAAUGAGUAGAUUGGUGGAAAUGUUGAAAGGAACCCUUGGUUCCUUGCAAAUUCCUCCCAAGCCUUUCUUGUCUUCUCCAGGAUCACCAGCAGAUUCUUCAACCAUCCACGGUAUACUAACUUUGUAAUCCCAUUAGCUAUGAAAAGGCACAUUUUCCUGCUUAGGAAUUAAUACGUCCAUUUCGAUAAAUAUCAGCGUAUAACACUGAUACAAUUUUCAAUUUUUCACUCAUUGAAGGCGUGAGUUGCACUUCUUUGGGACAGUAAACUUUCGUUAGUAAUCUUGGUGGUAUAGUUAGCACUAUAGCUAAAAAAUGCCUAAUAAAACCUUGAUUUAUUUGUGGAAAGUGACGUGAGAAAGAUAAGGCGAGAUAUGGAGAGUGCAAAAGUCAUAUUAAAAUUAAUCAAAAGCCAAGUCAUCUUCUAUAAUUAAAUCUCAGCUAUUUAUACAACUAAGAGAUGAGAGCCCAUAUGACAUGUCUUACAAGAUUUAGGUCUAUGUAAAUUUCAAGCAUAGCAACAUCAAGUAAAGAGCUUUAUCAAAUGUUAAGAUUUCUCCAAAAACGUGAACAACGUUUGAAGGCCCCUUUUUAUUAGCAUUUUCGUUAUUAUUACUAUUCUUACUUCAAGAGGAGAAUUACAGCGUCAAGCUUUCUUAGUCCUAGUUGUGGAAAGGGAGUUUGGAAAUUUUUCAUUUAAUCACGGGUCAACCAUUUACGUCCUUCAAAUUCAUUUUUCCAAGUCAACUGACUUGUUCAAGACGAUAAACAACUGAAAGAAAUAGCAAAGAUGACUGGGAUAAAAGAUGCAAUGCGGACAGAGAUUAUUCUUAGUUGAUCUCUCUUGCCAUUCAGGGAUUCUUCUAAUGGCUCACGUCUCUUAUCUUAUGUUCUUCAUUCUCUCGUAUCUUUUGCUUCUUUCCUUAGCUCAAGAACAAAUGAGAUUCAAUCUAAGUUGUCCAUCUUUUUCUUGUGAAAAAUUCCGCAAUAUCAACUUCCCCUACUCUAUACGAACACACCCUGAGUGUGGAUUCUGCUUAGUGGAUGACUGCGACAAGCCAGUUCAAAAGAUUCAACUGGGAAAGAAUGAGCCAUGGUUAUCUGUCACUAGCAUCUCUGCGGAUCAAACUGUUACACUUUAUGAUCAAGUGUUUUAAAGGCACUUGGACAACCGCAGCUGUGAAUCCUUCAAAAAUAUUUCUCUUCCCAGCUCUCCUUCCAUCUCUUUUAAAAUCCUAUCAAAUUUAACCCUGUUCAAAUGCCCCACAAUUCUUGGCAACAUUCCCAUGAAUUUCAAUAUGUCCUGUGAUGACUCCACGAUCUUUUACAAUCACCCAGAUGACGAUGAUCUACCAAGUCUUCCACCUCAGUGUUCACUUAUUCAGCUCCCAGUGGCAGCGAGUAAGACUCGCUACGCGUCUGACUUGUUUCGUCUGUUAACUGGCAAUUUCUCUCUAAAAGUACUCCCUAACUGGCGUGCAAGACGACAAUGUAUUGACUGUCCUUCGAGAGGAGGAGGCCAAUGCCUAAUUAACAGCAAGGGGUAUCUUCACUGUUCAAAUGGAAUAGUAGCUACAGCAAGUUACGGUAAGGUUCUCACAACUUCUCAAGUUUUACUUAUCAUUUCUUUACGAUCUAUACAAAAUUCAUUCAUAGAAACAGUCAUGUCAUAACCAUUAAGCUUGUUUAACACCUAACUACAUCAAAGUUUAGUUCAUGAUAGGUGAUAAAAUGGUAGCAACACACGUUUUUGCCGUCAAAUAUAUUCCCAUAAAGAGAUGAAAACAUGCAAAUAAAGAUGAGGAAUUGAGAUUCACUAAAUUCAAGAUGUCCCGCUCCUAGGUUUUGCGAUGUCUCCUACUUUUUCUUUGAAAUCCCUUGUUGGAACCCCCAACUCUCUCUUAUUCUCUUAUUUUUCUUUUUCUCUUCGUUGCUUCUAUGUGUCGGCCCCCUCCCUCUUGUUUCUUUCACGUGUGCUUUUUUUAUAUCUUAGAAUUAGGGCAAUCAAAAGCAUGUGGCCACGUGUCUCUUUUUUUGAAAACUUGGAUCGCAUAUCUUUUUGUGCCGCCUGUCACUGCUUUGUCAAUUAAUAUGCGGGUAGUCUUGCCAGUAUUUGCUCUUGGAUUGCUGCAACAAUUGCUACAACAUCUUCUCUUAUUCAAAUUUGUUUUAGUUCAUCUGCAGAUAAGUUUUUUGUCAUUUCUGCAAGUCUACUACUGCAACAAUCCAUCCAUAAAGUUUGAGUUUUUUGGUCACCUACAAUCAUGCACAUAAUCAUAACACAAAAUGAUAUAAAAUAUAAUCAAUUUAGUAAAAUUAAACUUAUAUAGAUGCUCAUGCAAAAUGUAACUAAAGAUGUAAUAAAAACAUAUAAUUUACUCUCUAAGUAAUGCUAGUUUAAGUUUAGAAAUGUCAUGAUAAUUCUCAUUUCAUGAAGUUAUCAAUACAUAAUCAAUAGACAUCAAAUAUUUUUGUGACUUGAACUCUUUGUGCUCUCACUCGUGCUGCUUCGGGAUGAUUUGCUAUGUCAAACGAGGGUUCUAUUUGUAGCCAAAAAGUGGUUUGAUGACAUGUCAAAGAAAAUGGACCAAAUCCUUCAUUUGCAGCCUCCAUAUCUACUUGAGAAUUUAGACCAUGCAAACAUAUUAAAACAAUGAUUUUGGUGUUGCAUUUUGGUAGUGUCGUUAAGGUGCACAAAAUUUAAAACCUUACCACUAAUAUAAAUAAUUAGUACAUAACGAGUAAGGAUCGUUAAAAUAAAAUAAUAGUUAGUUAUAUUUAUUAUUAACUCCAAAGCAAGAUUUAAAAUAAAAUAAUAGUAAUAGUAAUAAUAAUAUAAAUUAGUCUAACUAAAGAAAAUACCAAUUAAAAAUAAAAGAGGGGUUUAUGAAUUUUUAACUAAAUAGUAAGAAAUAGAGAAAUUAAAAUUACGAACAAGAAUUUAACAAUUUAUAUUGUUAAAGGAGAAAGAAAUAAUAAUGAUGAAAACUUUGGUUAAAGGAUCAUUCGCCACCACCAAACAUGCACAUAAUAUAUCAAUUCUAUUAUCAAUUUAUAUUGAACUGCUGUACCGUACAUCCGCCUUGGCCGUACAGCAGUUAUAUGUUAAAAUUUAACAACUUUUAAUUUUUCUUAUUUUGUAUAAACAAUAGGGGCAUGGAUCAAGAAUUUUAAUCUAGCUGAUUCCAACCUGCUACUAAUGAUUAAAAUAUCAAGACAAUUACAGAUCAAGAAUUUUAAUCUAACAAUAAAAUUUAUUCAAGUCCUAUCUAAUUGGCCACUCAAACAAAACAAGAAUAAACCAUGAACAUUAAUUAUAGAAGAACAUAAACAAUCUCAAUUAAAUAAAUUGAAUGAUAGAAUUUAAAUUUAAAUUUAAUUGCAUAUUAGGGUUUUGAAUUCACCCUCAACCAAAUAAAAAUUUAGCCUAACAUAAUUGAAUUGGGAAUAAGGAAAUUGAUAAAAUCAGUCAUGAAAAUUAAUUCAAGCGGCUGCCUUUUUCUUCAAUUGAAUUCCGGCUGCUGAUUUUUUUCUUCUUCUUGCCGAAUUGGAUCAGUUUUGCUCCAAACCUGCAGCUGCUGCUCUACUCUUCUCCCGAUUCUCCUUUUUUUUCUCUCUGGCAGCUCUCCUUUUAUAAUGCUCUAAAUCCUCUCACGAAAAGGAUUAAAAACAAAAGUAAAGCCGCCACUUUUCUUUUCCGUCCAGCGUCUGUUGGCUUCUUUGGCGGCUACCCCCUUUCUAAAACCAAAGUUUGGCUUUUAUAUUUAGUCUUCAAAUGGGCUCCACCGACUUUUCCAACUCUUAAGCCAAAGGCCAAGCCUUUUAAUUUGCUUUGGCUUCCCUCACGUGCACUCUUUAAUUUGGCUAAUAUUUCUCAUGUCCUUCACCACGGCAGCGAGCAUCAUUCCCAAAAUGCACCUAAAAUAACAAAAUAUAAAAAUUAACAUAAAAUUAACAUAAUAAAAUAUAAUUUACUAAAUUAAAAAUUGACUAAAAUAACUAGAAUAUUUAAGACCAAAAUAAGAAAAAGAUAGAGAAAUUAAUAGUAAAAUAUAUGAAAAAUAUGCACUUAUCACAUUUAUUGGGUAUGAAAACAUAUCUCCGAAAGUUACCUACAUCAGUUGAAUUUCUAGCAUAAAAUGGCUAUUCUUCUAAUUAACCAUUAAUGCAUGUAAUAUCCACUUUAUUAUUCAUUCAUGCACUACUUUUUCAACAAAAAGGCCAAGAAUUGAAUUAACUUGGGAUUCAAGAUAGGUAGCAUCCUGAAAACUUCUGUUCCACACUAAAUUAGUAAACAUGCAAUAAUAACUUUGAAAGCAUUCCAGAUUUAUCGUUUGUGGUAGAUAAAUAGAUCUCUCUGUUGUAACCACGAAAAAAGUGGGGGGGGAACAACAAUAGAUAUAUAAUUGCUUUGAAAAAUUAACAAAUAAUUUCUUUGUUUUUCAUAAUCUAAGGUAGUGAGUAUUAUAAGAAUUGACAAUAUAUGGUACACGUGACAUUGACUAAUUAAUUAACUAAAGUAAAUCAAUUUAUAAUUAUUAUCCAAUUAAGAGAUGAUAUUAUUUAAUUAAGCCAUAAAUUAAAGUAUAUAACUUAUUCAUGUCUUUGACAAAAGGAAGUGAAAGAGUUAUGUUAAUCUCACUUGUUUAAUAGUAGGAGUUCAAGAGUCUUAAAUUGUAUCUUAAGGCUAAUUAUAAAAAGGGUCCCUACUCUAACCAAUUCGCUCGCACUCAAUUUUGUUAUCCCUCACAAAGAAGCUAUAAGUAGAAUUGGGUAAAAGAAACCUUACGUCAACUGUAGUGUAUGGAGAAUACUUAGAUCUUGAACAAUUAUAUUUAGAGAUACGGCCCUAUCCACAAUUUAUUAUAUAAGAGCAUGAAACUUUCCCUUCGUAUUUUAUGCAGCCUAUAUCACAGAGACGUAAAAACGGAGAACAUUAGGUAAUUCACAGCUGCAUUUAUUUUUAAGGAAAAAAAAAAAAAACAUUCUUACUUCAAGGGGCCCUUCUCCUGGACGAGUUAAACACUUAUCCAUCAUUUUGAAUAAGAAUUUCACGUCCUACAGCUGCAAAGUGUGCAGUAGAAUGCAGUCAUGCGCAGCUCGAACUUCUUUCAGUAUCACUACAUCUACAAGUCUUUCCAAGUCAACUGGGGUGUUCUAUGGAUUUAGCAACAAAACAUGUGGACAAGGAAAAAUAGCAGAAAUUGCAAGAUAAUUUGAAGAAUUACAAAGAUUAUUCUUAGUAGUUUAUUAGUUGAUUAAGAAUAUUCUUAGCAGUUUAUUAGUUGAUUUCUCCAGCCAUAUUGGGAAUUCGGAAUAUUAAUGGCUUGUUACUCGUUUCUUGUGUUCUUUGUUAUCUCUCAACUUUUACUUCUUUCUUCGGCUGAAGAAGAAAGUGAACUGAAUAAAACAUGUCCAUCUUUUUUUCCCUCAUGUGGAAAUCUCGGUCAAUUUUUCUUUCCUUUCACCAAUAGGACGCAUCCUGAAUGUGGGUUGAUGUUAGUAGAUAACUGCAACAAACCAGUUCAGAGAAUUCGAUUGGGGAAGGCCGGGCCGUUUUAUAAUAUUUUAAACAUAGCCCAGGAUGCUUCAAUCACUCUUGAAGACCAAGUGUUUCAAAAUCACUUGGGCAACUCUAGCUGUGAAUCCUUCGAAAAUUUGACUCUCCCCACCUCUGCUUCUCUCUCUUUUCAUAUCAAAUCAAAUCCGAGCCUCUUCAGAUGCACCCACAAGCUUGAGAAAAACCUCCCGAGUUUCCAUUUUACCUGCAACCAUAACUCCUUUAUUUAUUACAAUCACCCGGAUGAUGCUUUACCACGUAUUGUUCCACCUAACUGUUCACUGAUUCAGCUCCCAGUGAAUAAGACUAGAAAAUCUGAUGACUUGUUCAAUAUGUUAACUUCAGUUUUCUCUCUUCAAGUGGAAAUACCCUGGUUUUGUUGGGAAUGUGGCUGGAGAGGGGGCCAGUGUCGAAGUGAU
RNAcentral lists this long non-coding RNA (16066 nucleotides) under Citrus sinensis (sweet orange). RNAcentral's name for it is "long non-coding RNA (CSIN_LNC000649)". Lineage: Eukaryota; Viridiplantae; Streptophyta; Magnoliopsida; Sapindales; Rutaceae. The record is from RNAcentral.